GAGGGAGUGCCACAUUUUCUUUCAUUUUCAUUUUCAUUUUCGGAUAGAGAGAGACAGAUAAAGAAAAGAAGAAAAAGGGAAAAGAGAAAUGGGAAGAACAAGGAAGAAGAGCUAGGGUUUGAAGGGGAAAUUAAAGAGGUUCUGGAGUUUAGUAGCUUGUGCGUGAUCUAGCCGGAGAUUCUUCCGUGUUUGUUGGAGAUUAGGUAGUGAGUCGAUGCUCUGGUCAUGUAACACUGGAUAGACUAGUCGUGUCAAACUCAUGUUUCUUUUUGGUUAUGUAUUAUGUUAUGACUUGAGAACCUGUUUAUUUGGCUACUUGUUGUUGAGAGGCUUUUAAGCUAAAUAUUCUGAUUAUGGUUUAUUUUAUGUUGAGAUGAUUAUUGAGAUAUAUGAUCAUGGUAUGGGACAUGAAUCAUUUUAUGAAA
Vicia villosa (hairy vetch) is the source of this 425-nucleotide long non-coding RNA. RefSeq lists it as uncharacterized. Lineage: Eukaryota; Viridiplantae; Streptophyta; Magnoliopsida; Fabales; Fabaceae. The transcript has 2 exons. The record is from RefSeq and is a predicted model, not a curated record.